AACGAACGCUGGCGGCAGGCUUAACACAUGCAAGUCGAGCGCCCUGCAAGGGGAGCGGCAGACGGGUGAGUAACGCGUGGGAACGUACCCUUUUCUACGGAAUAACGCAGGGAAACUUGUGCUAAUACCGUAUACGCCCUUUUGGGGAAAGAUUUAUCGGGGAAGGAUCGGCCCGCGUUGGAUUAGCUAGUUGGUGGGGUAAAGGCCUACCAAGGCGACGAUCCAUAGCUGGUCUGAGAGGAUGAUCAGCCACAUUGGGACUGAGACACGGCCCAAACUCCUACGGGAGGCAGCAGUGGGGAAUCUUGCGCAAUGGGGGCAACCCUGACGCAGCCAUGCCGCGUGAAUGAUGAAGGCCUUAGGGUUGUAAAGUUCUUUUGUCCGGAAAGAAAAGCAUCUGGUUAAUACCCGGGUGUUCUGACGGUACCGGAAGAAUAAGCACCGGCUAACUUCGUGCCAGCAGCCGCGGUAAAG
RNAcentral lists this ribosomal RNA (474 nucleotides) under uncultured bacterium. RNAcentral's name for it is "bacterial SSU rRNA". It matches the Rfam family "Bacterial small subunit ribosomal RNA", at positions 29 to 525 of the family's 1533-position model. The record is from RNAcentral.